This 451-nucleotide ribosomal RNA is filed under the name Sicarius boliviensis. Its description in RNAcentral is "partial 16S ribosomal RNA". It matches the Rfam family "Bacterial large subunit ribosomal RNA", at positions 1960 to 2710 of the family's 2925-position model. Lineage: Eukaryota; Metazoa; Arthropoda; Arachnida; Araneae; Sicariidae. The record is from RNAcentral.
CAUAAUAACUUGCCUCCUAAUUAGAGGAUAGCAUGAAAGGAAAUACGACUUAUUAACUUUCUAAAAACUACAAUUUAAAUUUUACCCAAAAGUAAAAAGGCUUUUAUAAAAAAGAGGGACAACAAGACCCUGACGAACUUUCACUAAUUUAGCUGGGGUAGCUAUCCAACAACAACUUCCAACCCCAACAUAAUACAGACCCAGUACUAUUGAUAAAAAAACAAGUUACCGCAGGGAUAACAGCAUCAUUCAAACUCAAGAGACCCUAUCCAAAGUUUGCCAUUUGACCUCGAUGUUGAAUUAAUAUAACUAUACUGAGCAAAAAAAGUACAAGUAGGUCUGUUCGACCUUUAAUUUAUUACAUGAUUUGAGUUCAGACCGGCGCAAGCCAGGUCAGUUUAUAUCUUCUUUAACCUAGUAUUAGUACGAAAGGACCAUACAAUUUAUCAAA